CUGCUAUCGGAUUGAUACUAAGCCAUGCGAGUCAUUGUAGCAAUACAAGGCAUACGGCUCAGUAACGCGUAGUCAACCUAACCUAUGGACGGGAAUAACCUCGGGAAACUGAGAAUAAUGCCCGAUAGAACAUUAUGCCUGGAAUGGUUUAUGUUCCAAAUGAUUUAUCGCCGUAGGAUGGGACUGCGGCCUAUCAGUUUGUUGGUGAGGUAAUGGCCCACCAAGACUAUUACAGGUACGGGCUCUGAGAGGAGUAGCCCGGAGAUGGGUACUGAGACACGGACCCAGGCCCUAUGGGGCGCAGCAGGCGAGAAAACUUUGCAAUGUGCGAAAGCACGACAAGGUUAAUCCGAGUGGUUUCUGCUAAAGGAACCUUUUGUCAGUCCUAGAAACACUGAUGAAUAAGGGGUGGGCAAGUUCUGGUGUCAGCCGCCGCGGUAAAACCAGCACCUCAAGUGGUCAGGAUGAUUAUUGGGCCUAAAGCAUCCGUAGCCGGCUCUGUAAGUUUUCGGUUAAAUCUGUACGCUCAACGUACAGGCUGCCGGGAAUACUGCAGAGCUAGGGAGUGGGAGAGGUAGACGGUACUCGGUAGGAAGGGGUAAAAUCCUUUGAUCUAUCGAUGACCACCGGUGGCGAAGGCGGUCUACCAGAACACGUCCGACGGUGAGGGAUGAAAGCUGGGGGAGCAAACCGGAUUAGAUACCCGGGUAGUCCCAGCUGUAAACCAUGCAAACUCAGUGAUGCAUUGGCUUGUGGCCAAUGCAGUGCUGCAGGGAAGCCGUUAAGUUUGCCGCCUGGGAAGUACGUACGCAAGUAUGAAACUUAAAGGAAUUGGCGGGGGAGCACCACAAGGGGUGAAGCCUGCGG
Molecule: ribosomal RNA, 867 nt
Filed under: uncultured archaeon
Lineage: Archaea
Description: bacterial SSU rRNA
Rfam family: Archaeal small subunit ribosomal RNA
Source: RNAcentral